AGCUAAUGAACUUGAAUUAAGUAUAUAUUUUGAAAAUAUAAAAAAGAAAUAAAAAUUUUCUAUUAGCUU
This 69-nucleotide transfer RNA is filed under the name Pityogenes bidentatus. RNAcentral describes it as "tRNA-Ser". The record is from RNAcentral. Lineage: Eukaryota; Metazoa; Arthropoda; Insecta; Coleoptera; Curculionidae.